GUUCAUACUAUGCCGUGCUGGGCCUCAAUCUGGAUGCAUCAGCCGGCGAGAUCCGCAGCACAUACCGGCGGCUGGCCUUGAAGUGGCAUCCAGAUCGCCGGCAGAGGCAGCCGUGGUUGCUGGACGAGGCUAAUAGCAGGUUCCAGGACAUUCAAGAGGCCUACCAAGUGCUGUCCGAUAAGAAGAAGAGGUCGAUGUACGAUGCAAACUUCUAUCAAAGGGGUUUUGAUGACAGAGAAUACGAGGAGGUU
Molecule: unclassified non-coding RNA, 251 nt
Filed under: Hevea brasiliensis (rubber tree)
Lineage: Eukaryota; Viridiplantae; Streptophyta; Magnoliopsida; Malpighiales; Euphorbiaceae
Source: RNAcentral